GUAAGCUAUAAAGAGCGAAUGGUGGAUGCCUUGGGUAGUAAAGGCGAUGAAGGACGUACUAGACUGCGAUAAGCUAUGGAGAGCUGUCAAGAAGCUUUGACCCAUAGAUUUCCGAAUGGGGCAACCCAAUGUAUAGAGAUAUACAUUACCAUAAUGGAGCGAACGAGGGGAAUUGAAACAUCUUAGUACCCUCAGGAAAAGAAAUCAAUAGAGAUUAUGUUAGUAGCGGCGAGCGAAAACGUAAAAGGGCAAACCUAGUGCUUGCACUAGGGGUUGUAGGACUGCAAUAUGCACUAACUAAGCUUAGCAGAAUAUUCUGGAAAGUUUAAUCAUAGAGGGUGAUAAUCCCGUAUGCGAAAAGCAAAGUUUAGCUAGCAGUAUCCUGAGUAGGGCGAAACACGUGAAAUUUUGUCUGAAUCCGGGUCGACCACGAUCCAACCCUAAAUACUCAUACUACACCGAUAGCGAACAAGUACCGUGAGGGAAAGGUGAAAAGAACGGCGGUGAGCCGAGUGAAAUAGAACCUGAAACCAUUUGCUUACAAUCAUUCAGAGCCCUAUGGAGCAAUCCAGGGUGAUGGACUGCCUUUUGCAUAAUGAGCCUGCGAGUUGUGGUGUCUGGCAAGGUUAAGCACACGCGAAGCCGUAGCGAAAGCGAGUCUUAAAAGGGCGAUUAAGUCAGAUGCUGCAGACCCGAAACGAAGUGAUCUAUCCAUGAGCAGGUUGAAGCUAGUGUAAGAACUAGUGGAGGACCGAACCCGCUAGCGUUGAAAAGCUAUGGGAUGACUUGUGGAUAGGGGUGAAAGGCCAAUCAAACUUCGUGAUAGCUGGUUCUCUCCGAAAUAUAUUUAGGUAUAGCGUUGUGUCGUAACUAAAGGGGGUAGAGCACUGAAUGGGCUAGGGCAUACACCAAUGUACCAAACCCUAUCAAACUCCGAAUACCUUUAGUGUAAUCACAGCAGUCAGGCGGCGAGUGAUAAAAUCCGUCGUCAAGAGGGAAACAACCCAGACUAACAGCUAAGGUCCCCAAAUCUCAUUUAAGUGGAAAACGAUGUGAAGUUACUUAAACAACCAGGAGGUUGGCUUAGAAGCAGCCAUCCUUUAAAGAAAGCGUAAUAGCUCACUGGUCUAGUGAUUUUGUGCGGAAAAUAUAACGGGGCUAAAAUGAGUACCGAAGCUUUAGACUUGCAUACAAUUUAAAUUUCUUAAGCUUAGACUUUAUUGUAUUAAGUUAGGUUUAAAACGAGUAAUACAAGAAAGUUUUAAAGUGCUUAGGGAUAAAGAAAUUUAAAUUGUAUGCAAGUGGUAGGAGAGCGUUCUAUUUGCGUUGAAGGUAUACCGGUAAGGAGUGCUGGAGCGAAUAGAAGUGAGCAUGCAGGCAUGAGUAGCGAUAAAAGGGGUGAGAAUCCCCUUCGCCGUAAACCCAAGGUUUCCUACGCGAUGCUCGUCAUCGUAGGGUUAGUCGGGUCCUAAGUUGAGUCCGAAAGGGGUAGACGAUGGCAAAUUGGUUAAUAUUCCAAUACCAACAUUAAUGUGCGAUGGAAGGACGCUUAGGGCUAAGCAAGCUAGCGGAUGGAAGUGCUAGUCUAAGGUCGUAGGAGCUCAUACAGGAAAAUCCGUAUGGGACUACUCCGAGAGCUGAAAGGCUUCUCAAAGUCUUCGGAUAGCGAGGAGAAUUGCUGAUGCCGUCGAGCCAAGAAAAGUUUCUAAGUUUAGUUAAUGUUGCCCGUACCGUAAACCGACACAGGUGGGUGGGAUGAGUAUUCUAAGGCGCGUGGAAGAACUCUCUUUAAGGAACUCUGCAAAAUAGCACCGUAUCUUCGGUAUAAGGUGUGGUUAGCCUCGUAUUAGAAUUUACUUCGAAAGCGAGGAAACUUACAACAAAGAGUCCCUCCCGACUGUUUACCAAAAACACAGCACUCUGCUAACUCGUAAGAGGAUGUAUAGGGUGUGACGCCUGCCCGGUGCUCGAAGGUUAAUUGAUGGGGUUAGCAUUAGCGAAGCUCUUGAUCGAAGCCCGAGUAAACGGCGGCCGUAACUAUAACGGUCCUAAGGUAGCGAAAUUCCUUGUCGGUUAAAUACCGACCUGCAUGAAUGGCGUAACGAGAUGGGAGCUGUCUCAAAGAGGGAUCCAGUGAAAUUGUAGUGGAGGUGAAAAUUCCUCCUACCCGCGGCAAGACGGAAAGACCCCGUGGACCUUUACUACAGCUUGACACUGCUACUUGGAUAAGAAUGUGCAGGAUAGGUGGGAGGCUUUGAUUCAUAGACGCCAGUUUAUGAUGAGCCAUUGUUGAGAUACCACUCUUUCUUAUUUGGGUAGCUAACCAGCUUGAGUUAUCCUCAAGUGGGACAAUGUCUGGUGGGUAGUUUGACUGGGGCGGUCGCCUCCCAAAUAAUAACGGAGGCUUACAAAGGUUGGCUCAAGAUGGUUGGAAAUCAUCUGUAGAGUAUAAAGGUAUAAGCCAGCUUAACUGCAAGACAUACAAGUCAAGCAGAGACGAAAGUCGGUCUUAGUGAUCCGGUGGUUCUGUGUGGAAGGGCCAUCGCUCAAAGGAUAAAAGGUACCCCGGGGAUAACAGGCUGAUCUCCCCCAAGAGCUCACAUCGACGGGGAGGUUUGGCACCUCGAUGUCGGCUCAUCGCAUCCUGGGGCUGGAGCAGGUCCCAAGGGUAUGGCUGUUCGCCAUUUAAAGCGGUACGCGAGCUGGGUUCAGAACGUCGUGAGACAGUUCGGUCCCUAUCUGCCGUGGGCGUAAGAAGAUUGAAGAGAUUUGACCCUAGUACGAGAGGACCGGGUUGAACAAACCACUGGUGUAGCUGUUGUUCUGCCAAGAGCAUCGCAGCGUAGCUAAGUUUGGAAAGGAUAAACGCUGAAAGCAUCUAAGCGUGAAGCCAACUCUAAGAUGAAUCUUCUCUAAGCUCUCUAGUAGACUACUAGUUUGAUAGGCUGGGUGUGUAAGAAAUGAAAGUUUCUUAGCUGACCAGCACUAAUAGAGCGUUUGGCUUAUCAUAUUAAGCAU
Molecule: ribosomal RNA, 3018 nt
Filed under: Campylobacter sp. MIT 97-5078
Lineage: Bacteria; Pseudomonadati; Campylobacterota; Epsilonproteobacteria; Campylobacterales; Campylobacteraceae
Description: bacterial LSU rRNA
Rfam family: Bacterial large subunit ribosomal RNA
Source: RNAcentral